UACGUAGGGGGCAAGCGUUGUCCGGAAUCAUAGGGCGUAAAGAGCGUGUAGGCGGCUUGGUAAGUCCGCUGUGAAAGUCCAGGGCUCAACCCUGGAAAGCCGGUGGAAACUGUCAAGCUUGAGUCCGGAAGAGGCGAGUGGAAUUCCUGGUGUAGCGGUGAAAUGCGCAGAUAUCAGGAGGAACACCAGUGGCGAAGGCAGCUCGCUGGGACGGUACUGACGCUGAGACGCGAAAGCGUGGGGAGCAAACAGG
Molecule: ribosomal RNA, 253 nt
Filed under: uncultured bacterium
Lineage: Bacteria
Description: partial 16S ribosomal RNA
Rfam family: Bacterial small subunit ribosomal RNA
Source: RNAcentral